AUACGGAGGGUGCGAGCGUUAAUCGGAAUUACUGGGCGUAAAGGGUCCGUAGGCGGUCUGCUCAGUCUGAUGUGAAAGCCCCGGGCUUAACCUGGGAAUGGCAUUGGAUACUGGCGGACUAGAGUCUGGUAGAGGGUGGUGGAAUUCCCGGUGUGGCGGUGAAAUGCGUAGAUAUCGGGAGGAACACCAGUGGCGAAGGCGGCCACCUGGACCAAGACUGACGCUGAGGGACGAAAGCGUGGGGAGCAAACAGGAUUAGAAACCCUAGUAGUCC
RNAcentral lists this ribosomal RNA (274 nucleotides) under uncultured bacterium. Its description in RNAcentral is "partial 16S ribosomal RNA". It matches the Rfam family "Bacterial small subunit ribosomal RNA", at positions 523 to 796 of the family's 1533-position model. The record is from RNAcentral.